Molecule: non-coding RNA, 26 nt
Filed under: Homo sapiens (human)
Lineage: Eukaryota; Metazoa; Chordata; Mammalia; Primates; Hominidae
Source: RNAcentral
GACGAGGACAGAAUUGAUGAGCCUGA